Volvox carteri f. nagariensis is the source of this 99-nucleotide transfer RNA. It matches the Rfam family "tRNA". Rfam says of the family: Transfer RNA (tRNA) molecules are approximately 80 nucleotides in length. Their secondary structure includes four short double-helical elements and three loops (D, anti-codon, and T loops). Further hydrogen bonds mediate the characteristic L-shaped molecular structure. tRNAs have two regions of fundamental functional importance: the anti-codon, which is responsible for specific mRNA codon recognition, and the 3' end, to which the tRNAs corresponding amino acid is attached (by aminoacyl-tRNA synthetases). tRNAs cope with the degeneracy of the genetic code in two manners: having more than one tRNA (with a specific anti-codon) for a particular amino acid; and 'wobble' base-pairing, i.e. permitting non-standard base-pairing at the 3rd anti-codon position. Lineage: Eukaryota; Viridiplantae; Chlorophyta; Chlorophyceae; Chlamydomonadales; Volvocaceae. The record is from Rfam.
GGGGUCGUAGCUCAAAUGGUAGAGCGCCCGCUUAGCAUGCGAUGCUGAGCGCCGCAGAUGAUAUGCGGGAGGUAGGGGGAUCGAUGCCCUCCGACUCCA